ACGCUCGACACCUACGGGAGGCAGCAGUGGGGAAUAUUGCACAAUGGGGGAAACCCUGAUGCAGCGACGCCGCGUGAGUGAAGAAGUAUUUCGGUAUGUAAAGCUCUAUCAGCAGGGAAGAAAAUGACGGUACCUGAGUAAGAAGCCCCGGCUAACUACGUGCCAGCAGCAGCGGUAAUCUGAGCGGGCUGGCAAGGC
This 198-nucleotide ribosomal RNA is filed under the name uncultured bacterium. Its description in RNAcentral is "partial 16S ribosomal RNA". It matches the Rfam family "Bacterial small subunit ribosomal RNA", at positions 328 to 539 of the family's 1533-position model. The record is from RNAcentral.